This 223-nucleotide ribosomal RNA is filed under the name uncultured bacterium. Its description in RNAcentral is "partial 16S ribosomal RNA". It matches the Rfam family "Bacterial small subunit ribosomal RNA", at positions 111 to 334 of the family's 1533-position model. The record is from RNAcentral.
GAUAGCGUGGAUAACCUGCCUCACACUGGGGGAUAACAGUUAGAAAUGGUUGCUAAUACCGCAUAAGCGCACAGUACCGCAUGGUACGGUGUGAAAAACCCAGGUGGUGUGAGAUGGAUCCGCGUCUGAUUAGCCAGUUGGCGGGGUAACGGCCCACCAAAGCGACGAUCAGUAGCCGACCUGAGAGGGUGACCGGCCACAUUGGGACUGAGACACGGCCCAA